AUGUGAAACUGAUUUGUGUGGCAAUAUAAAUGAAAUUAAUCAUAACAGACACUCGCAGCUGGCCAGACCCAUGAUAAAAUCCAGUAUAGACAAGUGGAAUGGGAUUCUAGAGUUAAAUGCAAAAUAUAACAGAUACCAGUUUGAAGAAAGAAAUAUAAGCAAUGUGCAUGAAAAAUUACAUCUUUUAUUCAGAGAGCUAUGGAAACAUUUUUGGAUUUUGGAAACUGGAAAUUGAGUGAAGCCAUCUUUCAUGAUCAGUACUACAGAUUGUCAAAUCCUCAUGCCAGACACAGCGUCAAGACCUCACAGCAGGGCAUUGUCAUGGAAGCAAGAAUUACGCAGACUUCAGUAAGGUGUUUUAAUGCAAAGGUUAGGGAUAAAGUAAAGAAGCUUGGAAACUGCA
Long non-coding RNA from Pantherophis guttatus, 403 nucleotides. RefSeq lists it as uncharacterized. NCBI's taxonomy places the organism in Eukaryota, Metazoa, Chordata, Lepidosauria, Squamata, Colubridae. The record is from RefSeq and is a predicted model, not a curated record.